GACGAACGCUGGCGGCGUGCUUAACACAUGCAAGUCGAACGGAAAGGCCCUGCUUUUGUGGGGUGCUCGAGUGGCGAACGGGUGAGUAACACGUGAGUAACCUGCCCUCGACUUUGGGAUAACUUCAGGAAACUGGGGCUAAUACCGGAUAGGAGCUCCUGCUGCAUGGUGGGGGUUGGAAAGUUUCGGCGGUUGGGGAUGGACUCGCGGCUUAUCAGCUUGUUGGUGGGGUAGUGGCUUACCAAGGCUUGGACGGGUAGCCGGCCUGAGAGGGUGACCGGCCACAUUGGGAUGGGGAUGCGGCCCAGACUCCUACGGGAGGCAGCAGUGGGGAAUAGUGCACAAUGGGCGGAAGCCUGAUGCAGCAACGCCGCGUGCGGGAUGACGGCCUUCGGGUUGUAAACCGCUUUCGCCUGUGACGAAGCGUGAGUGACGGUAAUGGGUAAAGAAGCACCGGCUAACUACGUG
This 468-nucleotide ribosomal RNA is filed under the name uncultured bacterium. RNAcentral describes it as "partial 16S ribosomal RNA". It matches the Rfam family "Bacterial small subunit ribosomal RNA", at positions 28 to 507 of the family's 1533-position model. The record is from RNAcentral.